CCUACGGUGGCAGCAGUGAGGAAUAUUGGUCAAUGGACGCAAGUCUGAACCAGCCAUGCCGCGUGCAGGAAGACGGCUCUAUGAGUUGUAAACUGCUUUUGUACGAGGGUAAAUCCCGAUACGUGUAUCGGGGUGAAAGUAUCGUACGAAUAAGGAUCGUCGAACUCCGUGCCAGCAGCCGCGGUAAUACGGAGGAUUGAAGCGUUAUCCGGAGUUAUUGUGUUUAAAGGGCGCGUAGGCGGUUCUCUAAGAUAGAGUUGAAAUCCCGGGGCUCAACUCCGGCACUGCCUCUGAUACUGUCGGGCUAGAGUUUAGUUGCGGUAGGCGGAAUGUAUGGUGUAGCGGUGAAAUGCAUAGAGAUCAUACAGAACACCGAUGGCGAAGGCAGCUUACCAAACUACGACUGACGUUGAGGCACGAAAGCGUGGGGAGCAAACAGGAUUAGAUACCCGAGUAGUC
RNAcentral lists this ribosomal RNA (459 nucleotides) under uncultured bacterium. Its description in RNAcentral is "partial 16S ribosomal RNA". It matches the Rfam family "Bacterial small subunit ribosomal RNA", at positions 338 to 795 of the family's 1533-position model. The record is from RNAcentral.